This is an RNA transcript of Mandrillus leucophaeus (drill), 568 nucleotides long. It is a transcript of the gene named leydig cell tumor 10 kDa protein homolog pseudogene, with no coding region annotated. The record is from RefSeq and is a predicted model, not a curated record. The transcript has a single exon. Lineage: Eukaryota; Metazoa; Chordata; Mammalia; Primates; Cercopithecidae.
AUGGCGCAGGGGCAGCGCAAGUUCCAGGCGCACAAGCCCGCAAAGAGCAAGACAGCAGCGGCGGCAUCUGAAAAGAAUCGGGGCCCGAGAAAAGGCGGUUGUGUUAUCGCUCCCAAGAAGGCGCGCGUCGUGCAGCAGCAAAAGCUCAAGAAGAACCUAGAAGUCGGGAUCCGGAAGAAGAUCGAACACGAUGUGGUGAUGAAAGCCAGCAGCAGCCUGCCCGAGAAGCUGGCCCUGCUAAAGGCCCCGGCCAAGAAGAAUGGGGAGGCUGCCGCCAUCUCCUCCAAGACACCUUCCUGAGGACGCUGGCCCCAGCGCAGGCCAACACCCCACCCCCCACCUCCAUGUGGGAUCUUACAAGUGAUCCUACAGGCUGCACUGGCAGGAAGAGGACCCCAUCCCCCAGCACUGGGCUUCACCUAGAACUUGAGUGGGGGCCAAGAGUGCUGAGAACCCAGCAAUGACCAGGAAGAUACAGUCACCAGCUUCAUCUGUCUCCAUGCCCCUUCCCAGGUCCUGCCUCCACAGGUUUAACCCAGAACAAUAAACCCGGCUUUGUCAUCAAAAA